GAUUCUGGGUUACUUACCAGGCCAGGGCAAACCAAUUAAUGUGACUUGUGGAGUUAAGAGAGGACCUCCAGAAGCCUUGGGAGAAGUCCAAUUUUUUCCUAAAAGCAUUUUUGACCUGAAGUACUAUCCAUACUAUGGGAAGCUCAGACAUGUAAACUACUCUUCACCGGUGGUGGCUGUGCGUUUUGCAGGAGUGCAGUACGACACUCACGUCCAAAUACAAUGCAAACUGAACGGAAAGGGCAUCGUCAAUGAUUCACCCACUGAUCGCUACCUGGGCAGUGUGACCUUCACCUUGGAUGUCGGAGCGUAAGGCCAACAUCUCGCUGCCAGCAGGAUGCUCCCAUGACAAUGAGGCAAGAAAAUGUACAAGAAAAAACAUAUGUUGAAGCAUUAUUUUCCAUGAAAUAUGUAAUUUCCCUCACCUUUCACUUAAAUAUCCACAUCUUCUGCUGUGAAAUUCCUUAAGAAGUAGAUAUUUACUCUCGUGUUUCUGUUGUGUCUUUGUACCUUGAGCGUGCUACUGGCACCUGCACCCACAACAAACAGUGCUGAGCACAGGACGAGUGCGUAGAGUGAGUUACAAUUCCUGAUAUUUUGUAAUGAAAUAAAUAAUUAGCGAGAUUAAUCAAACUAAAUUACACUCUGCCCAAUAGUUAGCAUUUCUGGCUAUGCAAAUCCAAUUAUGACUUAAAACAUUACUAGGCGAUUAGAAAAUAUUGUUGUAUCGGGUUAGAUUUUGGUUUUGUGUGCACAGUUUUUGUGUGACAGAGUGUACUAAUUUUGUUUUGAAUUAUAUUUUUCAAACAUGUAUAUUGUAAGAAUUCAAAGAACUAUCAUGCAAACACUGAAAGCAGGACUUGUACUGUACUUACACAGUAAAAAAAGAUAUAAUAAAUGACUGCAAAUACACUAUUACUAUAUUUUUGUUGAAUAGAGCAGUAUUAUACAUUUAUGAUAAAGCAUCACAAGCCACUUCUUGCCUUCUUUUGUAAAAACAUUUGCUUUUGAAAAUGAAAUACUACACAAGACUGAUCAAUAAAGAGACAUGCUGUACUGUGAAAUAGUUUGUGAAAGGUCUGUACCAUUUUAAAAAGUAUAACUAUUUUGUGAUAGAAUU
Plectropomus leopardus (leopard coralgrouper) is the source of this 1120-nucleotide non-coding RNA. The record is from RefSeq and is a predicted model, not a curated record. Lineage: Eukaryota; Metazoa; Chordata; Actinopteri; Perciformes; Serranidae.